Molecule: transfer RNA, 73 nt
Filed under: Paxillus rubicundulus Ve08.2h10
Lineage: Eukaryota; Fungi; Basidiomycota; Agaricomycetes; Boletales; Paxillaceae
Rfam family: tRNA
About the family: Transfer RNA (tRNA) molecules are approximately 80 nucleotides in length.
Source: Rfam by way of RNAcentral
AGACUGGUAGCUCAGUUGGAAGAGUGCCACUGUAUUACACUGGAGGCCACAGGUUCAAUCCAUGUCUAGUCCA